RNAcentral lists this ribosomal RNA (381 nucleotides) under uncultured marine Chaetocerotaceae. Its description in RNAcentral is "SSU rRNA". It matches the Rfam family "Eukaryotic small subunit ribosomal RNA", at positions 587 to 972 of the family's 1831-position model. The record is from RNAcentral. Lineage: Eukaryota; Bacillariophyta; Thalassiosirophyceae; Chaetocerotales; Chaetocerotaceae.
AGCUCCAAUAGCGUAUAUUAAAGUUGCUGCAGUUAAAAAGCUCGUAGUUGCAUUUCCGAGGCAAGGGAUUAGUCCGACCUUUGGUGGGUAUUUAAUCCUCUUGCCUCGUCCUUGAGUGGUGCUUCUUGGUAUUAAGUUAUCGAGGAGAUAGCCGCUCAUCGUUUACUGUGAGAAAAUUAGAGUGUUCAAAGCAGGCUUAUGCCGUUGAAUAUAUUAGCAUGGAAUAAUAAGAUAGGAACUAGGUACUAUUUUGUUGGUUUGAGAACCAAGGUAAUGAUGAAUAGGGACAGUUGGGGGUAUUCGUAUUCAGUUGUCAGAGGUGAAAUUCUUAGAUUUACGGAAGACGAACUACUGCGAAAGCAUUUACCAAGGAUGUUUUCA